AAGAUCCCCUGCACUGCAUCCAGCUUGGAAUGAAGCUCCUCAAUGCGCCUUUCUGUCCUUCGUUUGGACUUCAGACAUCUCAGUGCCAGUUGCUUUUUCCCAGCUCUGCAAGCACUCCGGGCAUCAUCUUUACACUUCUCUGCUUCCUGGGAAAGGGACUCCACCUUCUGUGACAGCAGCUGUUCACUUUGCAUCAGCUGAUAGACUCCGAUGUCCACAUCAUUCAUUGGAGAGACUUUGGCAUGAAGUCCUCUGGCAAACUUCACUAUCUUCUCUCCGUUCUGUUCCAGAAUUGUGACCUUCUUUUCCUUUUGCAGCUGGAGCAGCAGUAAGUAGAAUGUUCUUUCAUCUGGACAAACACCAGCACAGAGGGAACGCAGCUCUGAGAGGGCGACGACGGGGUGAGAUGAAAGCACAGAGUUCUGAUACAGGCGAUAAACUUCCUCUGCUUUCUCCUGAAGUAGCUCCACAUAAAUCAGAACUUCCUCCUCCUCGGGUACUUUGCUGUCACCCAGCACACUUGAGAGAGUCCACUUCAGGGGCUUCAGGAUGAAGACUCCCACACCCCAGGAGAUCCAACUGCUGUCCACGCUGGCCAUGAAGUCUGACUCCCUCUGCAUCUUGCCACGUCUGAGCAGCUCCCGCAGCACGGUGCCGAGGCCCAGCGGCACACUGCCCCGCCGCUCGAAGCCGUUCUGCAGCUCGCGGAGACAGGUGCGCACCACACCGCGGCGGCGGCCCCGGGCCAACACCAGCCCGACCCAGAAGGCCAUCUUGCUGUCCCACUCGGUGCUGUUCACUUCGCGGCUCUGCUUGAAAGCCGAGAAGAGAAAAGCCAUGCGCUCGUCGUCCGUCUCCCACUCGGGCGGCAGGUCCCCCGCCGGGGCCGGCCCAGGGGGCGCCCUCCCCGGGCUGCACAUCUACGCGAGCCCCCGGCUUCGCCGCGGCCUCCGCCAGGCCGGGACCCGCCUGGCUGCCAGGGACGCGCGACGCGCAUGCGCGCCGCUCCCCCCCCCACC
This 1019-nucleotide long non-coding RNA is filed under the name Gallus gallus (chicken). The record is from RNAcentral. Lineage: Eukaryota; Metazoa; Chordata; Aves; Galliformes; Phasianidae.